This is a long non-coding RNA of Sander lucioperca (pikeperch), 1608 nucleotides long. RefSeq lists it as uncharacterized. Lineage: Eukaryota; Metazoa; Chordata; Actinopteri; Perciformes; Percidae. The transcript has 2 exons. The record is from RefSeq and is a predicted model, not a curated record.
CGGCCGAAGCCCCACCCGUCCCCUCCCACUUCUAUACGGUGGUGACGAGCUGCCAGGAGCUGAACCAGACGGUGGAGGAGUGUGACGGGCCACUCAGGGUCUUUUCCUAUCUGCUUCCACACAGACCGGACAACAGUGAGGCCUGCAACAGUGUAGAGGACGAGUCGCAGUGGGUGGAGGACCUGCUGAAGCUCCACACGGCCCGAGUCCGAGACGUGGAGAUCCUGACGGGCCUGGACCUCUACCGGUCUACCAACCUCACCUUCACCAGCACGCUGAGCCUCAAAACCUACCUGCACACUUUUGAGAGUGACGACUAGACGCACAGGGAGACAGACGCACACAUAACAGGAUGUAGCCCUUUGUAGAAAGUCCCGCGUUAUUUUUUACUGCAUGCUCGCUAGACAGCCGGCGCAUCGUUGUUCCACUCCUGAGGAACUGCCCCAGAAGUGCUUGCAAAGAAAGGGAACACAUUUUUUGGAAAAUUGAAAAGAUUAAAAGAAUGGUUUGGCAAGCAGUAGUUUGGAAGAUUACAACAGGAACAUGCAACACUAUCACAAAACAAAUUCUGAGAAGGAAUAAGCUAGCACAGGGACGUUCUCGACAGCUGCCACUACUCAAUCCAGUUUAUACAGUACAGGACAUCAUCAUGCACACAUAAAGGACUAUAUUGGGCUUUUAGCUCCAUAACUAUAAACAAUGUAUACUUUAUAUUCCUACUGCCCAUCCGUUGCAUGCUGUAGAUUUGAAACAUUUUUGAAUGUGUCUUUUCUUACCCAUAAAAGACUCUUGAACCUUGCAUCACUUGUAUCAGCGGAUCUGUCUGUAAUUCUUUUAGCCAAAGUUAUAAUAUCAUUGGGAGGACUUCUCAUAGCAAACUACAGAUUACAUUGUUAUGCUGUAUGGAAAUAAGUAGAAACUUAAAAACUGGAAAAAUACAUUCAAAAAUCUGAAAGUCUACAGCACGGUUUGCAAAAUAGUCAGCAGUAAUGUAAAGUGCAGUCAAUGGGCUUUGACUUGCAGCAUUGCUGGUAUGGUUUUGCAAAGGAAUAGUUUGAUAUUUUGGAAACGACACCUAUUCUCUUUGGUUAGAUGAGAAGAUUGGUUAGCCUAGCUUAGCAUAAAGAGCGAAAACAGGGGGAAACAGCUAGCCUGGUUCUGUCCAAUGGUAACAACAUCUGCCCACCGCACCUCUAACGCUCACUAAUUAACAUGUUAUAUCUCGUUUGUUUAAUCCAAAAUGUCAAACCUUUCCUUUAAAACAACAUGCGGCAACUAUAUGUUUAAUGCCACAUACUUUCGGAACUCUAAAGUUCCCGAAAGUAUGUGGCAUUAAACAUAUAGGAAGAAAAAAAAAAAACCUAAACCUGAAUUAUUAAUAUCUCAUGAUUACUAGAAACGGUUUCCAAACAAACAUUACACAAAUAUACUUUUGCACAAAACCUUUUUUAUGGGUUACCACUAGGGCUGGGUGAUAUGGAAAAAAAAAUCUGAUAUUAUCUACAAUAUAUUCUUGGCCAAAUACCUCAGUAGCGAUAUUGCGACAAUAUUGUACGGUUGACAAUUGGUUGCUUUCACAAAAACAUUUUUUACAAUGAGAUUUUAGAC